CUUCAUCAUUCGGUCAAGUUAUUCUCUAAUUCUCUAAUUCUCUAAUUCUCUAAUUCUCUCUCUCUCCCCUACAGUCCAUCACGGCUUAAUCUUAUUUCAUUAAUUUAGUUAAAGGAUCAAUGAAUUACAAAUAAUGAAAUCUUCCCUUUACAAGGUGAUGGUGUGUAUAGAGUUAUAGGCUUAGGAUAAUAUCUCAUAAAGAAACUUCGUCACAUACUUAAGAUUUAGUUGGGUUUGAUAAUCUAAAGUUGAGUCUCUUGUCACUUGCCAUGAUAUUCAUAAUAUGCUUUAAGACACAUUUCCACUUUCGAUUUACGCAAUCAGACACAUGUUGCCGGUGACACACUUUUGUGUAAUGAUUGUAACUUAGACUCCCAACUUUGUUUCUCCCCAACAUCCAUUCUUUCGUAACUAAACCUUUCCUAACUAAAACAACAAUCUGUCCAAUUGGACACACAUCUCAAUUAAAAAUAGUAAAAUACAAUUCAUUCUUUAUCUCUCAUAUUUCGAAUUUUGAGACAAAAAAUUGAAAUCACUUUCAUAGUUUCUCGAACCCUAAUUGCGACGACCUCUACCCGCGAACCUCUUUCAGCUUCGAGAAACCAUGGCGAAAUUGAAGUCGAAGAAGAAAGGGAAGCUCAAUAGUUAACCUUCUUCACCGCAGAUCGACAUCGGAGGUUUGUAUUUCGAAUUCCUUAACUCUUUUUGAAUUUCAAGAGUUCUCGAAAUCCCUGACUUUUUUCUAUUUUUCUUUCUUUUUUUAAAAAAUUAUUUAUGUUGUAAUUUUCCAAUUGAAUCGAAUCUUUGAGAUUUUUUGGACGGGAGAUAUGACGAGCAGAUCCGAGAGCUCUGGUGUGGAGAGAACGACGCGGCUGCGAGCAGGUCCGAGCUCCGUUGUGGAGAGGACGAUGGGACGGCGAGCAGGUCCGAGAUCCGGUGUGGAGAGGACGCGACGACGAGCAGGUCCGACCUCCGUUGUGGAAAAGACGACGACGAGCUCUCGUGGUGUGAAGAAUCUGAGAUUAAAAAGUUGAACACUUCUUCUACGUAUUAGAGAUCUAAGAAGCAAAAGGUUAGAAACUUUACAUACGGGUUUAUAGAUUUAAGCUUAGAUCUAUCUCCUUUUCCUCGGCGGAAGAAAUAAAAGGUUGCAAACGGAAGGUAAAGUUCUUGGCUUUAAUUAAAACACUUCUUUGUUUACCUCUUUUGGUCUCCUACAGCAAGAGUUCUAAAUCAAUACUUUGAGUACAUAACUAGAUGGAUUUUUGGGCCAAACUUGACAUGACCACAGCAAGAAUCCAAGGAUGAUGCAGCAUGAUAUUUUGACUAUUGACCACAUCAAGAGUCUAUGAUGUAGUCCACAACAACAAUGUCCUAAACAUCAAUCUUGCUCCCACCCAUCAAGAGUCCACGGAUGAUGCAGCUCAACACCUUUCCAGACUCCAAAGCGUGGUCUAUUUACUUUCAUUAUAGAUCUAACUUGGUGAAAUUAUGGAUGUUAACGUUUUAGUGUCAAUGUUCAGCUUUGAUGUCCAUGUACACGCAUGGUUUAUAACUCUAUUACCUACAUUGUAAUGUCCAUAUCCAUGUUUUGUUUUUUGUCUUA
This is a long non-coding RNA of Brassica oleracea var. oleracea, 1606 nucleotides long. RefSeq lists it as uncharacterized. The record is from RefSeq and is a predicted model, not a curated record. The transcript is spliced from 3 exons. Lineage: Eukaryota; Viridiplantae; Streptophyta; Magnoliopsida; Brassicales; Brassicaceae.